AGGUGUAUAGAUGAUGUAAGAUGUGUGUACAGAGAAACUAUAGAUGUUGAAACAGAUGUAUAGAUGAUGUAAGGUUUUGAAACAGAUGUAUAGAUGAUGUAAGAUGUGUGCAUGGAAACUAUAGAUGUUGAAACAGAUGUAUAGAUGAUGUAAGGUUUUGAAACAGAUGUAUAGAUGAUGUAAGGUUUUGAAACAGAUGUAUAGAUGAUGUAAGAUAUGUGAACAGGGAAACUAUAGAUGUUGAAACAGAUGUAUAGAUGAUGUAAGGUUUUGAAACAGAUGUAUAGAUGAUGUAAGAUGUGUGUACAGAGAAACUAUAGAUGUUGAAACAGAUGUAUAGAUGAUGUAAGAUGUGUGAACAGAGAAACUAUAGAUGUUGAAACAGAUGUAUAGAUGAUGUAAGGUUUUGAAACAGAUGUAUAGAUGAUGUAAGAUGUGUGAACAGAGAAACUAUAGGUGUUGAAACAGAUGUAUAGAUGAUGUAAGGUUUUGAAACAGGUGUAUAGAUGAUGUAAGAUGUGUGAACAGAGAAACUAUAGAUGUUGAAACAGAUGUAUAGAUGAUGUAAGGUUUUGAAACAGAUGUAUAGAUGAUGUAAGAUGUGUGAACAGGGAAACUAUAGAUGUUGAAACAGAUGUAUAGAUGAUGUAAGGUUUUGAAACAGAUGUAUAGAUGAUGUAAGAUGUGUGUACAGAGAAACUAUAGAUGUUGAAACAGAUGUAUAGAUGAUGUAAGAUGUGUGUACAGAGAAACUAUAGAUGUUGAAACAGAUGUAUAGAUGAUGUAAGAUGUGUGUACAGAGAAACUAUAGAUGUUGAAACAGAUGUAUAGAUGAUGUAAGAUGUGUGUACAGGGAAACUAUAGAUGUUGAAACAGAUGUAUAGAUGAUGUAAGAUGUGUGUACAGGGAAACUAUAGAUGUUGAAACAGAUGUAUAGAUGAUGUAAGAUGUGUGAACAGAGAAACUAUAGAUGUUGAAACAGAUGUAUAGAUGAUGUAAGAUGUGUGAACAGGGAAACUAUAGAUGUUGAAACAGAUGUAUAGAUGAUGUAAGAUGUGUGUACAGAGAAACUAUAGAUGUUGAAACAGAUGUAUAGAUGAUGUAAGGUUUUGAAACAGAUGUAUAGAUGAUGUAAGAUGUGUGUACAGGGAAACUAUAGAUGUUGAAACAGAUGUAUAGAUGAUGUAAGGUUUUGAAACAGAUGUAUAGAUGAUGUAAGAUGUGUGAACAGGGAAACUAUAGAUGUUGAAACAGAUGUAUAGAUGAUGUAAGAUGUGUAGACAGGGAAACUAUAGAUGUUGAAACAGAUGUAUAGAUGAUGUAAGAUGUGUGAACAGGGAAACUAUAGAUGUUGAAACAGAUGUAUAGAUGACUUGGUUAAUGGACGUCUCGGCAAUAUUAAACCAAAUUAAAACAUCGAUG
Long non-coding RNA from Eriocheir sinensis (Chinese mitten crab), 1422 nucleotides. RefSeq lists it as uncharacterized. The record is from RefSeq and is a predicted model, not a curated record. The transcript is spliced from 5 exons. NCBI's taxonomy places the organism in Eukaryota, Metazoa, Arthropoda, Malacostraca, Decapoda, Varunidae.